GAAUUGGAAGUUUGUCGGCUUAGACCUGGUGUCAUUCCAUCAGUGUUAAACUUCCCGGCUCAUCUUGGAAGAGUACGUGCCAGAAAGACCACGACCAAGCAGCCUUGAGAUCUUAGACAGCGUCUCCCUGAGGUCCCUCUCUAUCUCCCCACACAUCCACCAACCACUGGAACACAUCUCCAAAGUUCUGCAGGGCCAGCUCAGCUUCCCCUCAGAAGAAGUGCCGCCACCUGCCAGAUGAAGGAGCCUUUUGAGAGGCAGCUGGCAUCGUGAUUGGACUGUACUUUGGUCUGUUCCAAUCCAGCUUCAGCUCCAGAGACGGCAGGCGGGACGAGUCAACGGAGGCCGGGUGGACGAAGACCAAAGAACUACAGACUCUUCACAACCUGCUCAAACUCUUGGUACAGGACCUCACCACACGGGUCAAGAAGGUUUCCAUCUCCUCAUUUCUACUCUGAAGCUCACUUUCUCCU
Long non-coding RNA from Amphiprion ocellaris (clown anemonefish), 473 nucleotides. The record is from Ensembl. NCBI's taxonomy places the organism in Eukaryota, Metazoa, Chordata, Actinopteri, Pomacentridae.